GAGCGGAAGCGGCGGCCGGGUUCCCAGCCGCCGCCCGCGAGGAACAAAGGAGCGUCGCUGGGUCCUAGGGACCGUCUUCUUUCGUGCAGGCCCAAGCGCCUGCUCCUUAGUCACCCUUGUUUGGCCCUGGGGGAAAUAACCUCCCACCAUAUCCCCAACCACAUCGAAAUGCUUUUUCUCCCACAAAACACCUAACCCGGCGACGCAAUCAAACAGAUACAAACUAGAUGAGAAAUGGGAAAUGGCUGCUAAGUGCCCGUAACUGACAUGGCGCCCCGAUAGCUUCGAAGUCCCUCGGGCGCCAAUUGCAUAAGAUGGUGCCUGGGUGGUUUUUUUUUUUUUUUUUUUUUUUGGUCCUUGAAUUGUAAUUUGUGCACUUCAACUGCUCUCAUCCCUCCUGAUGCAGCUCGGCGUCCUACCCAGGAGGAGUAUGAAGCUGAGGAAAGCAAAUCAGAGCUGGCUAACGGCAGGCGGACAGCGGGAAGCCCCGCGCUGAGCUCGUUGCCCUUAGUCUUCAUAGCGCCAAUAUGACCCUAAGACCCACCCCUUGCCCUCAUCCAAAAUGUCGCCAGCCUGGCUUCACUCACCUCCAGGACUGGGAAGCGAAGGAAGAGCCCAUCCACCACUGCACAGCCACCAUGGGUGACGCCCCGCUGCCGGCGCCCCCAGCUCCCGCGCCCAGCC
This 684-nucleotide long non-coding RNA is filed under the name Fukomys damarensis (Damara mole-rat). Its description in RNAcentral is "lncRNA (ENSFDAG00000024003.1)". The record is from RNAcentral. Lineage: Eukaryota; Metazoa; Chordata; Mammalia; Rodentia; Bathyergidae.